CCUAGUGGUUAGAGUGUAGGGGUGGCAGGUAGCCUAGUGGUUAGAGUGUAGGGGUGGCAGGUAGCCUAGUGGUUAGAGUAUAGAGGUGGCAGGUAACCUAGUGGUUAGAGUGUAGGGGUGGCAGGUAGCCUAGUGGUUAGAGUGGAGGGGUGGCAGGUAGCCUAGUGGUUAGAGUGUAGGGGUGGCAGGUAGCCUAGUGGUUAGAGUGUAGGGGUGGCAGGUAGCCUAGUGGUUAGAGUGUAGGGGGUGGCAGGUAGCCUAGUGGUUAGAGUGUAGGGGUGG
Long non-coding RNA from Oncorhynchus tshawytscha (Chinook salmon), 282 nucleotides. Lineage: Eukaryota; Metazoa; Chordata; Actinopteri; Salmoniformes; Salmonidae. The record is from Ensembl.